UAGCGUCUAAAAUAUUACUGGCGUUAUAUGUAUUGACGCAAAGUUAUCUUACCAGUCCAAUUAGUUACGGCGCCUAGAGACAUGACGCUAAAGCUUAUCUUUUACAAAGCGAAUUUCGUCGCCGCAUACAAUUUUGACUGAGAUUUAUUUUAACCGCAGUUUGUGUUUAUUUCACUGCGAUUUUGAGCCGACGGAAUUAAUUUGGUGACGCAAAAUGCAAAUUUAAGUUUUUUUUCGCCGUAAAAGGUAAGGAACUAAGGACGUAUAUUUUCCCCCCUUUUUCUUCUUCCCCAGCCCGAUAUCCUAGUACCCCUUGUUGCCCCUUCCCACGUCUUUGUCUCUAUCACACUAAGUGCCCCAAGCCUCGUUAUUGCCCCACGUCUGUGCUAAGGCCUCUCUGUCUCUCUGUCUUUAUCUCUAGCUUAUCUCUAUUUGCAGCACAUAACCCACAAAUCUGGUCGAUUGGUCCCUCACUUUCACUCCGAUAGAGAUUUUCUCUGGUCCACAACAGCACGUCACAAGAAGAAAAUGGACAAAAGUUGAAUGCACCUCACCGAUAGAUUUUGGUCAAGGGAAUAUGGCAAAGGGGUCAAGCAGUUUCUCACAAUGGCUCGAGCUCAUGCCCUCGGAAACAACAGUGUUCAGGGACGUUCUAGGGAAAAGAUCAGGCUAUGAAAGGGGUUUGGGCGAGAAGGUGAUGCCUGUAACAUCAGGAACAGUGAGUGCUCUUGAGAAUGGAGGUGUCUUGUUAGAGGAUGCAUUGUUUUACAAGGCCCAAUUUGAGGCACUAAAGGCCAAUGUUCAGCAAAUAUUUGUCAAGCAAGUGGAGUUUGAUAAAUUUAUGACAUACUCAAUGUCACAGCAGCUACCCCAGGGAGAGUUUUCGAGGGAGACACCGGGAGCUGUCUAACUUUGGUACACAACACUUAUUGGGAUUUUUUGGUUUUUUGAGAGGCAACGGGAUGACUACUAGUGGGUGGUUGUCUGUGGUAAUUUUGUGAGUGCUUCUCUAGACACAUGGUUGGGUACAUGAUAGACUAAAGGGACUGAUGCAUGCAUUAUUAACACAUGCUUAGCAAGAUCCAGAUCUUGCAAGAUACAAAGGAUGGGCAAUGGGUUGUAUGAAAUGAUGUUGUAGCCAUGGAGCACUGCAAGAGGGACAGCUUGUGGCAUUUUGCAUGUACUACAAGUGUCAAUAUUUCCAGAAUUUUUGUUGUGGGGGCGACAGUGCCCUAAACAGGUACCUACUUCUGCAAACUCCAUAGUGACAUAUGGUAGAAUAUCUUUGCAAUUUAGGUUGAUACUUUGGGCUACUUCAUUCUAUGCCAUGAAUUUUAUAUGGUCUGAAAACAACUCCUGUAAAUAUUAUUGAUGGAUAUAAUUUUAGGGUAGGUAUGAAUAUAUUUUACUUAAUAUAGUGGCCUUUUAGCUUGAUUAAACUUGAGGUGUUACUACUAAUUUAUGGGCCUAAAUUGUAGUACUGCUUCUUUAAGAUGAAGCCUGAGUGUUGAUGCAACUUGGUGUGUAAAUAGUUUGGAAAAUGUAGUAUGAAUUUUCUAGAAUUGAACUAGCUUAGAUGUUGAUCAUGUGAUAACAUUUUUUGCCAAAUAAGUUCUGUCACCAGUUGGUUGCAAUGGGACCUCUGGGAUUUAGUUAAAAAAUUUAAUAUCUGACAUGUAUAUAGUAGAAUGAACAAACAAAAAGAUGGUUCUUAGGUUCCAAGGCUAUGUCCACAUAGGUAGUAUAAAAAUCCCUUUAUUUGUUUUAACAUAUACAUGGGGUUAAAUGAGCCAUUGGUAGUUUAUGUUAACAAGCUGAGAGCUGCUACAAGCUGUUGUUGAUGGUAUAUUUGAUUUUUUAAACAACUUCAUUUAUGUUGGAUUAGUGGUCUUUCAUAUCUCGUGUUAUUAUUACUUGGUUGAUUCCAUUCUUAGAAAAAAUGGAGCCAGGAAAAGGUAUAUUACACUGCCAAGCUUAUGGGUCAUUACCAAAGAGAUGGGAUCUAUAGGUUCUGUUCGGAAAUUCUCACCAUGCUACUAAGAUAGAGAGGACUCAAAUUUUGUCUGCCACAUGACAUUGUGUAACCAGCACAUAUUAAUGUUGCCUUGUAUUAAAUUUACAAAUGAUCAUUGAACAUGUUUCGGCAUAGUGGUGUAUUAUUUAACUUGAUCUUGUUUUGGUACUAAUAUAUGUAUAGAGUGAUUGGCACAUUUGUCACCUAGAUUAGGAAAUAUAGUACUUCUCAAACUGGGUGGUAAUUUCUGUGCAUGUAAUACCCGUUGGCCUCCAAAUGAUAGUAUAGUAGUAUCUUUUCAGUUGAAAUUGAAAUUGUUUGAAUCCUUGAAUUAUGUCAACUGCUGCAUUAUUCUAUUGCUAGUCAGGGUUAUAAUAAUAUUGAGAUCUGGCCAAACUAAUAGAAUUUAUAGCUUAUAAAUAUUUUCAUACAACAAUAUUAAAGUUUGCAUUUUUGGUAACCAACUAGACCCAGGCCAAAAAUCUAUGAUAGCACAUAUAUAUGUUGGUCUCCUAUUUUAAACAAUGAUUCCAAUGGGAUUAAUAUUUGUGAGGCAACUAAUUGCAUCGGUAAUUAGUUGGAGUAUUUGUAUUAAAUAUACUUCUAUUGCGACAAACAUAGAAGUCCAUUUGUGUAUAAAUGGGACAGUUACGGGGAAAUAAAAUCACCGCAAAUAUAUUUCACUAUGGGGAUCUUUAUUCGUGUCACUAUUUGUUCGCUACAAGAACUACAACUUUUGCUGCGCAUAAUUAAUGCUUUUGUGAUGUAUACUAGAAAUAUAUUUCAUGAUCCAAUUUGUGGCGAACCUACUAAUAUUUGCUGCGUGACGUUUGGGCCCAUUAAUGGCAAUUUCCAUUUCAUUUAGACACCAAGCAAUAGACGCUAAUAGAUUUUCGCUACCAAUAUUUUUCACUGCUAAAAUAAUCGAUGGUAGGACAUGAACUAUUUGUGUCUCAUACUUUUCGCCAUAAAUAUAAAACUUUAUCAAUUAACUUUUCAGUAGCAAUGAUAAUGUUUUUGCGACAUUAAAUACACUGUCACAACAACUAUAUAUUGCGGCGCUGUGGUAGUAUUUGUGACUCUAAAAAUAGGCUAAAAAAUUAAUGAUUUGCACCAUUCAACAUUUUUUGCGGCAGAUUAAACAUGUAAAUUGCGGCGCCCAAUUCGCAAAUAGAUUUCCUGCUAAGCCGUGUAAAACUUUUUGAGACCAACUUCUAUCGACCACGUAGCAGCGAACAGCAUGGAACGAGAAAGCUUUUUUGUGAGCUGAUUUUGAGCUAUUGCUGCAAUUUUCACCGACACAAAAUGUGUGUUAUGUUGUAGUGACUCACCCCAUUCUUCAAACCCUCUAUGUCUAUCUCUUGCGCCCCCCUCCCCCAAAUCACUCAUCUAUAGAUCUACUCUCUCUCUCUCUCUCUCUCUCUCUCUCCAGAAACUCACUCCCUUUUCUUCAUCCUAUAUCUUGGGCUCGAAGGUCUUCUCUCCCUCUCCCUCUCUCUCUCUCUCUCUCUCUCUCUCUCUCUCUCUCUCUCUCUCUCUCUCUAUCACACAUAAAACCCUAGCUAGUGGGCACAAAAGUUUGUUCUCUGUAAUUUGGUUCUGUUUUACUCCGUCGCUUCAUCGUCUUCUCAGUUUCUUGGGUCAAAGAGAUUUUAUGCUUGUUAUUUGAUCUAAAGAUACUUGUUACCUUUGUUAUUUGUUGUUGUCGAUUUUUCUAGAUAUAUGCAAGUGCAUAUGGCAUAUGGGUUUAUUUGUCUCCAGAGAUAGCCGAUUGAGGCACCGAUCUAUUUAGCUCUCUCUAUCUAUCUCUCUAUUGCAUCAAAACCCUAGCCUCUCACAACUCAGCUUUCCUCUUCUUUAAGUAAGACAUGGCUUUUGGGUAAGAUUUUGUUCAUCACAAAUAUGUGUUCUUUUUUUAAUUUCUAGUUGGAUCUAUGUUUAUGUUCUUUUCAUAUUAUAGUUGGGUUUUUUUAAACAUGGCUUGUGUGUGUGUAUGUUUUUUUUAAGCAUUUGAGGGUUUUCGGUGGUAGCGUUUUUCUUCCCUAAAGCUUUAGAUCUGAUGCUAUUUGGUUUAUUAUUUAAAUUUUAUUGAAAAUUAUUCCUUGUGAGUUAUGAUAUAAACAGAUGCUUGAUGUUAUAAACAGAUCCUUAUGUUUCCCUGUUCCUUGUGAGUUAUGAUAUUUGGUUCUUUAUCUUUUAUUUCCUUUGUUCUCUCUAUUGAUUUGAGUCUAUUUUGAUGACAAUGCUUUGCUUAAUGCUUUAUGCUUGAUACUCAGUGCUACUCUGUUUUCUCAAAAUAUGCAUAAUAUAAGAUGUAGCCUUAGAUGAAAUCAACACACGAAAUAACUGAUUUGAAGAUGUGGUUUUGUUGGGUUUAAGAUGAUUUUUGGAUAUGCACAAAUGUCAAUGUUUUAUGGGAACUUGAAUUCAAAACAGUGUGUUGUGUAUUUGGAUAUGCCAAGUGGAUUUUAUCAAAACCAAUGGCUCUUCUAUCUCCCUAUUUACUUACUUAAAUGUUAUCUGAAAUAAUUGGAUUUUUGUUAUCUGAACUCCUUUAUGCCAUUAUGCUCUAUUGACGACUGGGGGUGGAGCACAUUCUAGAACCACAAGAAGCUGGUUGCAGGGGACAAGCUGAUUGAAGAAUGAAAGGAGGCUAGCCCUCAAGUAGUAGUACUGAACAAGUGUAAUGAAGUAAAGGGUGUUAUUUAUGAUAUCAUCCCAACUUGGCAAAACUGAUUGGUUAUUGUUGUGAUAAAGUAAAGGGUGUUGUUUAUUUUGUAAUUCAAAUCUUGUAAUUUUGUAUUGUAAUAUAAUGUGUAAAUAACAAAAUAAUAUAAUAUGUAAUGGGUUGCAUGUAUUUUAGUUUUUUA
This is a long non-coding RNA of Carya illinoinensis, 4884 nucleotides long. RefSeq lists it as uncharacterized. The transcript has 2 exons. The record is from RefSeq and is a predicted model, not a curated record. NCBI's taxonomy places the organism in Eukaryota, Viridiplantae, Streptophyta, Magnoliopsida, Fagales, Juglandaceae.